AAUUAAGGCAGAAUUGAAAUUGCUCUUUGAAAUAAAUGAAAACAGAGACAUAACAUAUCAAAACUUUUGGGAUGCAGCAAAAGCAGUGUUAAGAGGAAAGUUUUUAGCACUAAAUGUCUACCUCAAAAAGUUAGAAAGACCUCAAGUUAAUGAUCUAAUAUCAUACCUGUAGAAAGUAAAAAAAUAAGAACAAACUAACCCAUAUACUAGCAGAAAAGUAAAUAGCUAUAGUCAGAGCAGAACAGAAUGAAAUUGAGACGAUCCUCAGAGACUAUUAUGAACACUUCUAUGCACACAAACUAGAAAAUCUAGAGGAAGCGGAUAAGUUCCUGGAAACACACCAUCUUUUACGAUUAAAUCAGGAAGAAGUUGAAACCCGGAACAGACCAAUAUCAAGUUUUGAAAUUUAAUCAGUAAUAAAAAACCACCAAAGCCCUAGACCGGAUGGAUUCAC
This 454-nucleotide long non-coding RNA is filed under the name Pan troglodytes (chimpanzee). RNAcentral's name for it is "long non-coding RNA NONPTRT014217". The record is from RNAcentral. Lineage: Eukaryota; Metazoa; Chordata; Mammalia; Primates; Hominidae.